This is a long non-coding RNA of Sapajus apella (tufted capuchin), 4551 nucleotides long. RefSeq lists it as uncharacterized. The transcript has 2 exons. The record is from RefSeq and is a predicted model, not a curated record. Lineage: Eukaryota; Metazoa; Chordata; Mammalia; Primates; Cebidae.
GAGCUCAAGUGAUCUGUGUGCCUCAGCUUCCCAAAGUACUGUGUUUACAGCCGUGUACCACUGCACCAGGCCUUUAGUGCCUUCUUGAAGGUCACACACAUCAUCAUAUGGAAAUUAACUGGAACUAUGUGUACUAGGUUUGUAGCAGCUGAUACGUCAUGCUCAUAAAUUAAAUAUUUGUUGAAUGGAUUACAUUUAAUCAGCUCAUUUUUUGCAUAGAAUUAAUAAAAGAAAUGUAUCCAAUCUAUCUACUAGUCCAGUAACUUUCCACAGGCAAUAGUGCAGUUUGUCUUAAGUCAGGGAUACUUUGUGUGAAGCCAACAAAUCAAAACAUGUAAAUGACUUCAAGCAGUAUUCUCAUCAUUCCUGGGAAAACGCUACUGUCUAUGUUUGUGGUAGUGAACAUAAAAUCAUUGCCUUCAUUAGGUGAUGAAUAUGAACUUUUUAAGUCAUCUAUCUGGUGCCCUUAGAUGACCAGUUAGAUCACAUUCCAUGUCUUAUGAAAAGAUGAUGUUCUUGAGUCUUGACUCUGGUGGCACAAGCCGAUUUUCCAAAGUUAUUCUGCAGGUGGUGGAUUCAGUAACCAUUAGUUGGCAUUCUCCCUUACAAACCUCAGGUAACCCCUGUGUACACACCAAGCUGAUGCACUAAAUGAGUAACACACAAUGUUUUAUAGACCCAAUAAAAACUGUUUAAAUGUCUGGUAGUGCUUUACAAAUAUCUUCAUCCCAGAUUUUUCAAAUCUCCCCUGAAAUCUAUGCAGCCAAAUGUGCAUUUGUUCUGUAACUGAUGGUCUCCUGGAUAUCAGUUUGAUCAAGUAUAAGACAGGGUUUUUGUGUGUGUGGUGCCAAUUACUAAGUACAUGAAGACACACAUCUUGAAUAAUUACCUAUAAGAGGAUUGAAAGGAUAAAUAUCUAUUUAAGAAAUAUCUAAUACAACUAUAGUCGCUGCUCUCAUUUCUUCAUAUUCCUGUGAAUUUUUGUUCCGUUCCUUAUUCUUAGAGUGCAAAGUGAUCAUUUUAGGAAUGAAUAUCAUACAAAGUAAACACAGGGAACAGAAAGCUUAAUGCAUUCAUUACUCAUUCCUUUCCAUCAAUACUCUGAACACCUACAGAGUGUUCUAGGCUCGCUGGGGAAACAAGAAUCAAUAAAUCCCAUUUUCUCCGUACUGAUCUUAUGAUUAGUAGAAAAUCAACUGAAAUAAUCUCAUAUUGAUUUCUCCCUCCUGUGAGUCCCUAUGCCAUUGUGGAAGGAGUUGGAGGGAUUUAUCACAGUCCAUAUUACUUCAGAGUUUAUGGUAUUUCUUUAUGCUCCUUGGUAGAUGUUGAAUGCCUGGAGGCAAGCUUGUUUUCCCUACCUUUAUAACCCUGGUUAUCGUUGUACUUGUUAGCCUGUGCUAUGUGCUUAAAACAUGUUUUUAAAUAAAAGUGUCAAUGGUUUUGCCAUUAAUAAUAUAUGAAACUCUUAGCUCGUAAUUUAAUAUCUUUGGGACCUGUUUUCUCAUCUGCAAAGACAACAUACUGUAUCUCAGGAAGUUAUCAUAUCAGAAUUAGAUGCAUUAAAUUUUGCAAACUGAGAAGCUAAGCAUUAUACCAAGGUACAGACUCAUUCUUAUUAAAACUGAAUAUGUGCUUUCAUUUAAAGAUGAACUGCUGUUUAACUAUGGCUGGUAGUUAUGUUUGGGGGAUUCUGUGGGAUGCUACUAUUAGUGGAGAACUCAACAACCAUAUGGCCCCGAAACUUUUCCUUCCUUAUAGUGCUCAAUUCUUAAACACAAAAUGUAAGAAUAGGAUUUCAUGAAGCAUUCUAACUCCAGUUUAUUGUUUAAAACUUUUUACCUCUAUCUUGUCCAUAAAUGUGAAUUAUUGUGGCAGAUGGUUUCAUUCAGUGUAUGAUAAAUUCUGUAUGUACUUCAGGAAGGAAACUAUAAGGUCUAUUUCUGGCUUGUCUUGAGGACGAAAUAAAUGGUCUAUGCAGUCGUUUCCAUCUCUGGCUUUAGUGAUUAAUGCAUCCUAGAGGACCAACUUUCUUUUAGCUGUAAUGCCAGUUUCCUUAUUUCAUCCCUGGAGCUUUAGGCAGAAAGGGAAAUGAAAAGCCAUCAGCUUUUAUUUUAGGUGACUUUUUUCCUACUCCUGUUUGGGUUUUCACUUUUUUUUUUUUUAAAUUAUUCUGCAGUUAGUUUUUCUUGUUGAUAUCUAGGAGGACACCUGGAGUGACUGAGAUAGUGUAGGGCUGUAUCUGAUGUUUGGAGGUAGAACAUAUGCUCAGGCGGCUGACAGGCCAUGGCAGUUCUAGUGCCAAAAGUGCUGUUCAUCUCAUCACAUUGCUCACUCACAGUCUCCAGGAAGCUUGCAGCCAGUCAGGUUUCCGUGUUUGUGACAGAAUUUUUCUUUUUCUCUUUGGAAUAGUCUCCCUCUGUCGUCCAGGCUGGAGUGCAGUGGUGCAGUCUCGGCUCCUGACAGUUCUUGACUUCCAGUGUUGUUAGGGACAGUAGAUGAGCAUUUUGUGAAACAGUAUGAGUGAGAAUCAAAAGCAGUUUGAUCUAAUUUUCUCUUGGAUUUAGAACUUCUAAUUCAGUUUUAUUUUUGCUGAUUUUCUAAAGAGAUAGUUUUCAUCACCAGUGUGGAUUAGCUUGUCAUUAGAUCUUGGAGAUCUUUGAGAUCAGUGGAGAAGUUUCAACUUAGGAGAGUGGCUUUAUUACAAAAAUAAAUGUUGGUAAUGGCUUAUCGAUAUUAUUAUAUGAACACAUUUGUGAUGCUUCCAUUGCUAUAGAAAUAUUCUGUUGUCUCAUUUUAAAGAAACUAUUUUUACUUAACAAAUAUUGACUGUCUGCAAUAUGUGACACAGAGAUGCAAAAAAUAUUUUAGACACAACAUCCUUAGUUAAAUUGUUUAUAAAUUGACUUUAUUGAAAUGUCUUACCAUAUAAUCAUCAACAUUCAUAUCUCAAAUACUAAUAUGUAUCAGUAAUUUUAAAUGACCUUUAAAAUCAUACUGAUCAGUAAUUGUAUAAAGAAAACUGAAUCAUGCUAAUCAGGUGAAUAGAUGUGACAGAUUGAGGUGUUGACAGCAAGGAAGAAGAAUUGAUACAGGUAACGAAGUCAAACUGUUUGCUAAAAUCUGAGCCACGGUAUCUUAUUUUUUUCUGCAGACUCUAUCCAAAGCAGUGAUUCUUCCCUAGCGUCCAUAUUUUUCUUGAAGCCUAGGGGUCUAUGAAGCCCAUAAAAUUGUGUGGAUGUGGUACAUCUUUCUGGGGAGAAAUCUAGAGCUUAUACUAGAUUCUAAAAGUAAUGAUCCAGUGAUGUUAAGAAUCAUUACUAUAUAUUUUUACUUAUAAUUUGCUUCUCCUUUUAGGGACGAUGGUGUCCAAAUUCUAGAAUUAAGUUGAAAAGGCAUAAAUUAUACACCUUAAUGCUCUCCUUUCCAGCUGUAUGAUCUCAAGUUAUCCAACCACAAUGUUUCUAUACAUGAAAUGGGCAGAUACUCCCUUCACUCCUACGUGUCAAAUGAGAUGGGCUACGUGAUUGGCCAGAAUAAGCCAUAAAAUAUUUGCAGACAUAAAGAUUAUUACUAUUGUUUGAGCUUCUGCAUCUGCCAAUCCAUCAUACUUUUUUUGUGUUAGUUGAAAAUUUUAUUCUAUUACUACAUAAAUGUAUUUUUAAAAAUCUUUCCAUCAUUGCCAAUAUAGUUUCUUAAAGAAUGAUGAUUCAAUUUUUCCAUGCCUUUGGAGGCCUUUGUUGUUAAAUGAAUCAUUGUAAGUAUCUGACAUGCCAUGGCUGCUGCCUGGUUUACAUCACAGUGGAGGAGGAGGGCAUCCAUCGUUCAGGGGCAGAGCAAAGGAUGUCCUUGGUCUUUGUCAGAUUCUACAGAGGAAACUUGGGGGAACUAAUUCUGUUUCCUUUGAAUUGAAGCCAAAGGUGGACUGAGUGAGUGAGAUUGAGAAGGAAAUAGAAAAGUGGAAAUGAAUGUGAUUUGACAUUAGAUUAUAAGUUUUAAUUUCUGUCUUGCCAUCAUACAAUCUUAAGCAAGUCAUAAUUCCUUUAAGAUUCAAUGUUAAUUGUUUUUAAAAUGGAGAUGUAAAAGAAUGAUCUCACAAGAUUAUGUUAAGCAUGAAAUUAUCCUAUGUGUGGGAUGAAGGUUGUCAACUAUAAAGUGAUAUACCAGUUUAGAUGUUAUUAAUUGUUAUGGAAUGGUCAUUUGCACAAAAUUCCAAAGUGCAAAAUAAUUUGAUCACUCCCUUGUACUUCUUUUUGAUGGGCUUUUAAUACUCUUGUAUUUAUUCACACAAGUAUGUAGUCUAUAUGUAUGACUUACUGUUUCUUUGUAGACACAAGAAAUAAACGUGUGGAAUGCAUCAUUAGUUAAGAGCAAAAUUCUUAAAUGAGAAAUUAGAGUCUAACUGAAAAAUGAGAAAGUUUGAAAGAAAAGGAAGAGUCGUGUGGUUACUAAAAAAAAGAGACAAACUGUGACUUCAUUUUAGAGAAUAACAGAAGUGGGAAGGAGAUGGUGUUGGCAACUGGGACUUUUAGAAGAAAAUUUCAUUCUGAAUAU